GGGUUUGAGGCUGUAGCGUCGGUUUUGCAAAAACCGAAGUGGGGUUUACCCCAAACCCU
Molecule: transfer RNA, 59 nt
Filed under: Khawia sinensis
Lineage: Eukaryota; Metazoa; Platyhelminthes; Cestoda; Caryophyllidea; Lytocestidae
Description: tRNA-Cys
Source: RNAcentral